CUGGCGGCGUGCCUAACACAUGCAAGUCGAACGGAGUAUUACCGCUGAAGAACUUCGGCCGAUUCUUGGUAAUUCUUAGUGGCGGACGGGUGAGUAACGCGUGGGUAACCUGCCUCGUACUGGGGGAUAGCAGUUGGAAACGACUGAUAAUACCGCAUAAGCGCACAGUGUCGCAUGACACGGUGUGAAAAACUCCGGUGGUACGAGAUGGACCCGCGUCAGAUUAGCUAGUUGGUGAGGUAAAGGCCCACCAAGGCGACGAUCUGUAGCCGGACUGAGAGGUCGAACGGCCACAUUGGGACUGAGACACGGCCCAAACUCCUACGGGAGGCAGCAGUGGGGGAUAUUGCACAAUGGAGGAAACUCUGAUGCAGCGACGCCGCGUGAGUGAAGAAGUAUUUCGGUAUGUAAAGCUCUAUCAGCAGGGAAGAAAGGCUCGUAAGAGAGAUGACGGUACCUGACUAAGAAGCUCCGGCUAAAUACGUGCCAGCAGCCGCGGUAAUACGUAUGGAGCAAGCGUUAUCCGGAUUUACUGGGUGUAAAGGGAGCGCAGACGGUCAAGCAAGUCUGAAGUGAAACCCCACGGCUCAUCCGUGGGCUUGCUUUGGAAACUGUUUAACUAGAGUACUGGAGAGGUAAGCGGAAUUCCUAGUGUAGCGGUGAAAUGCGUAGAUAUUAGGAGGAACACCGGUGGCGAAGGCGGCUUACUGGACAGCAACUGACGUUGAGGCUCGAAGGCGUGGGGAGCAAAACGGGAUAGAUACCCCUGGAAGUCCACGCGGUAAACGAUGAAUACUAGGUGUUGGGAGACAUAGUCU
This 818-nucleotide ribosomal RNA is filed under the name uncultured bacterium. RNAcentral describes it as "bacterial SSU rRNA". It matches the Rfam family "Bacterial small subunit ribosomal RNA", at positions 36 to 838 of the family's 1533-position model. The record is from RNAcentral.